RNAcentral lists this ribosomal RNA (232 nucleotides) under uncultured bacterium. Its description in RNAcentral is "partial 16S ribosomal RNA". It matches the Rfam family "Bacterial small subunit ribosomal RNA", at positions 15 to 245 of the family's 1533-position model. The record is from RNAcentral.
GAUCCUGGCUCAGAUUGAACGCUGGCGGCAUGCUUUACACAUGCAAGUCGAACGGCAGCAUAGAGAGCUUGCUCUCUGAUGGCGAGUGGCGAACGGGUGAGUAAUACAUCGGAACGUGUCCUGUUGUGGGGGAUAACUACUCGAAAGAGUAGCUAAUACCGCAUAAGACCUAAGGGUGAAAGCGGGGGACCUUCGGGCCUCGCGCAGUUGGAGCGGCCGAUUACUGAUUAGU